GACGUAGGAGGCAAGCGUUAUCCGGAUUUAUUGGGCGUAAAGGGCAAGUAGGCGGUUCUCAAAGUUGGGCUGACAUCUCCCGGCUCAACCGGGAGGGUGCGUUCAAAACUAGAGGACUAGAGGGCAGGAGAGGGAAGUGGAAUUCCUAGUGUAGCGGUGAAAUGCGUAGAUAUUAGGAGGAACACCAGUUGCGAAGGCGGCUCUCUGGACUGUAACUGACACUGAGGCACGAAAGCGUGGGGAGCAAACAGGAUUAGAUACCCGCGUAGUCCCUGAG
This 277-nucleotide ribosomal RNA is filed under the name uncultured prokaryote. Its description in RNAcentral is "partial 16S ribosomal RNA". It matches the Rfam family "Bacterial small subunit ribosomal RNA", at positions 524 to 801 of the family's 1533-position model. The record is from RNAcentral.